CCAAUAGCGUAUAUUAAAGUUGUUGCAGUUAAAAAGCUCGUAGUUGAAUUUCGGGAUCAGUACGUUGGUCAUGCCUUGGUAUGUACUGGUGUCACUGAUUCCUCCCUUCUGAAGAACCGUUAUGCCAUUAAUUUGGUGUGGCGGGGAAUCAGGACUGUUACUUUGAAAAAAUUAGAGUGUUUAAAGCAGGCUCGCGCUUGAAUACAUUAGCAUGGAAUAAUGAAAUAGGACGUUAAUCCUAUUUUGUUGGUUUCUAGGAUCGACGUAAUGAUUAAUAGGGAUAGUUGGGGGCAUUAGUAUUCAAUUGUCAGAGGUGAAAUUCUUGGAUUUAUUGAAGACUAACUACUGCGAAAGCAUUUGCCAAGGAUGUUUUCAUUAAUCAAGAACGAAAGUUAGGGGAUCGAAGACGAUCAGAUACCGUCGUAGUCUUAACCAUAAACUAUGCCGACUAGGGAUCGGAUGAUGUUAAUUUUUUAAUGACUCAUUCGGCGCCUUACG
RNAcentral lists this ribosomal RNA (498 nucleotides) under uncultured Glomeromycotina. Its description in RNAcentral is "partial small subunit ribosomal RNA". It matches the Rfam family "Eukaryotic small subunit ribosomal RNA", at positions 591 to 1092 of the family's 1831-position model. The record is from RNAcentral. Lineage: Eukaryota; Fungi; Glomeromycota.